AGAGUUGAUCAUGGCUCAGGAUGAACGCUAGCUACAGGCUAACACAUGCAAGUCGAGGGGCAGCAUGAAGUCAGCUUGCUGACUUGAUGGCGACCGGCGCACGGGUGCGUAACACGUAUCCAAUCUGCCCGUUACCCGGGGAUAGCCUUUCGAAAGAAAGAUUAAUACCCGAUGGUUUCGUGGGUUCGCAUGAGCACACGAAUAAAGAUUCAUCGGUAACGGAUGAGGAUGCGUCCGAUUAGGUAGUAGGCGGGGUAACGGCCCACCUAGCCGACGAUCGGUAGGGGCUCUGAGAGGAGGAUCCCCCACAUUGGAACUGAGACACGGUCCAAACUCCUACGGGAGGCAGCAGUGAGGAAUAUUGGUCAAUGGGCGAGAGCCUGAACCAGCCAAGUAGCGUGAGGGAUGACUGCCCUAUGGGUUGUAAACCUCUUUUGUUUGGGAAUAAAGUGGGCCACGUGUGGCCUUUUGUAUGUACCUUACGAAUAAGCAUCGGCUAAUUCCGUGCCAGCAGCUGC
RNAcentral lists this ribosomal RNA (518 nucleotides) under uncultured bacterium. RNAcentral describes it as "bacterial SSU rRNA". It matches the Rfam family "Bacterial small subunit ribosomal RNA", at positions 8 to 518 of the family's 1533-position model. The record is from RNAcentral.